UUUUCUAACAUACAAUUUAUAAUAAGCAGAGAUUUAUGAUUGAUAUUAGCUAUAAUUAGCUUUAACAUUACACAAGACAACCAAACCCAAAGCAACUAUAGCCACUUUAUUUUAUUUUAAAAAAGCAAACAUAUAUGAUAUGCUUUUUCUACAUUAUAUCAUUACAUAUAUUGCCUCCAAUAUCUCUGCUUCAACCUUUCAUGUGUUGCACUUCAUUUGCAGUUGCAAGGGUCACAAGUGCAGCUAUCACCACACUUGCAGCCACCAUCCUCAGCUGCAACACUCAUUUCAGCACCAUCAAACUGGAUCUUCGCCGGACCGACGCCAAGAAUCACGGUUUCUGUGGUUUCCAUUUCGGAGUAGCUCAAUCCACUAGACCUCUUGUUGCAUCUGCACAGCAAUAAAAAUCAAAAUAAUCCAAUAAAAUAUUAACAAAUUUUUUGCAAGAUUGAUUCUUAAGAAAAAAAAUAAAUACCAACAGAUUAAUAACCAUAUAGAAAAAAAUAAUUAUAUAGAUUUUAAUGUAAGGAAGAGUUAAGGUGGUGGAUCCUUACUUGCAGCUAUCACCACAGUUGCAACUGCUUCCACAACCACAGCUAGACAUAUUUUCAGAAACUAAGAUUUUUUUUGCAAACAACAAUUGAUAUUAAUUGCUUGGUUAGUGUUAUCUUCUAUAAAAGUGGUGUCUUUUAAUGAUGCUGUGUGACUCCAAUUUAUAAGGUGGAAGAGAAUAAUCAGUGAAAUCUUGACCGUCCACGUGUUGUAAUCUUGUGUUGUAUGGGUCCACAAGCCUACGCUUGGAUCAAUUCCUAGUAGACAUCGUUUUCAUUGCACGUCUUAUUGUGGUGUUGGCGAUAAAAUUGUUGCAUGCUUGCUGAUUGGUUUUCACAAAACAUGAUAUUUUAUUGAUUUUAUAAAUUUACUUUUAUUAACAAAUCAUAUUUGAAUAUAAAAGUCACCGCAACGUUUUUGCUUUUUGUACUUUUGGAGAAACAAUUGUUUGAUGAGAAAUAGAAUUUUGAAGCGGUAGGAUAAGUUUUCGGUACGAUAGAGAGAAGUUAAUAGUGAAAAAGUUAAAAAUAUAUAAUGAGGAAGAAUGAAUUUGAUUAUUUAAAAAUGACAUUUUUUUUCUUUUAUGGUUGAGGUGGUUAAAACCGCAAGCGAGGAGUGUGGCGUGAAUUGUCAUCACUGGUUCGAUUGAUCUGGACUGUUGAUAAUGUUUUAGAGGUGAAAUUGUCUAUUCUCAACGAGGAUGGAGGAACACUUGUUUCUCGCAUGCGCUCCUUUGCUUAGGUUUCGUCCAUUGCCUUGUGAGCGGCCACAAAUUGUUGUCCCCAAACCCUUGCUAUUGCUUUGUAAGAUACGUGUUUGCUAUAUACGUUCUAGACCGAUUGAUUGGCAUGAGGAGAUGAAGAGCUCUGAUGGGACAUCACUAUUAUUGGUAACAUACACAUUAAGUAUCUUUCUAGUAAUAAAUCUGAUGUGUGUUCCUAUGCUAGUUCCUAAUGAUUCUUCGUCUUCCUUAGAGAACUUAAGUACUUUGCAUAAUCUUUGAUGAAAUAUCGAUCGUCGAUGGUGCGUAGUAGAUCAUAUGAUCUCUAGUGGUAAAGGCACAUAUAAAAGAUCUCUAAAGCAUCAUUUUUCUAUUUAUUGUCAUCUGCAACCUGUGAAAGAUCUUAUUCUUGUCUUGCCAACUUCGUUCUUUAUCGAUAACUCUUUAAUUCUAGUUUCUUGCCUAAGCUCACAUGCAAUUUUCGUUUGGUGGCCUUUGAUACGCACACCAACCUACUUGUUUUAAGGUAAAGCCAAUGACUUAUUCUUGCUUUUGCCUUUUUAUAGUAUUUUUUGGACAAUGAGUUUUUUAGAAUGGACAUUCCAUCUUACAUAUUUUGCAAGGAAAUGAGGAUAUUUAUGUUGGACAAGCAUUAACUACCAUACAACGUAAUAUACCUACUAAGACUUCUGAGUCUCAUUUCCCUUGAAGGAGGAACACACAUACAUGUACUUUUUAACUAGUACAAUGACGUCCAUCGUGGGUCUUUGUAAAACUAUCAUAUGCCACACCGUGUUCAUCACCAUCACCCUGCAUGUUGUUACCCUUCACUCAUACACCUAGCCAUUUACAUCCAUGGCAAACAGGAGAGCUUCAUCCCCACACCAGAAGAUACCAGUAGUAUUGGUGAUGUCGAUGCUCUAGCAGAGAUGCGUGCCUCCAUGGAUGAGUUACGUCGCUAUAACCACACGCUGGAGGAUGAUGUCCACAAUAUCAAACAACGCCAAUAGGAUUCCAAUCCCUAGAGGAGAUGUAAAUGUUAGACCCCUAGCCGCUCUCAGAUGAGAUAUGGGGGAUAUAUGCCCCGAGGGUUUCAAACAUCCAUACUUGGCCAAUUUUGAUGGGCGCAAAGAUCCCUACGAGCAUGUCGCCUCCAUCAAUACAAAGAUGGCCAUUAUAGGAGUACCUGCCUCCCUGAAGUACAAGCUGCUAUCUAGCAUUUUUAGGGACGUCGCCCUUCGAUGGUAUAUGGGUUUAUCCGUGCCUCCAUCAACAACUAUCAUAAACUGGUAAAGAAGUUAGUACACCAAUUCCUCGCCACAGAAAGAUGUCCACCACACGCCUAUUUAACAUAUGUCAGGGUCCAUCAAAGUCUCUGAGGGGCUACUUCUACUGCUUUAACGAGGCCACCAUCAAGGUCGUCCCACCUAACCAAAAAUGUUUAUGGUGGCAUUCCAAAAUAGAGUUGAGGCAUAACAAUUUAACGAGUCCCUCCCCCAUAAGCCAACAUUUUAGUUGGCAGAAGUGGUCACUAGAGUAGAGUCCUACAUAAAGGGUGAUGAGAAUAACAAUGAAAAAAAGGCGCACGAUGUCAAAGAGCACGUUCCCAAGGUCGGUGGCUCACAUCACCAGAGGAAGAGAAAUUAUACCUCAACCAUAAGCCAACAUUUUAGUUGGCAGAAGUGGUCACUAGAGUAGAGUCCUACAUAAAGGGUGAUGAGAAUAACAAUGAAAAAAAGGCGCACGAUGUCAAAGAGCACGUUCCCAAGGUCGGUGGCCCACAUCACCAGAGAAAGAGCAACUAUACCUCACCCAAAAAGGACCAUACUACAUUCAAAAGGGUAGGUAAGGUGGCAGAGAACUUCAAACCCUUGAACACUCACCACGAGCUAAUCUGGUACGAGGUUCUCCACCUUCACAACAUCCCUCUGGCGCCUACUCCUAAGACAAAUGUGAUGGGUUCUGAAUUGUUUAGGUGGUGCAAGUUCUAUAUUAUCAAGGGACACCACACCGAAGAUUUCUACUAACUCAAAUAGGAAAUCACUAGAUUAAUACAUGAGGGAAACCUCAAGAAAUAUGUGAGGCGCAACUCCCCCCAUUCGGAAAAUAAGUAUAACCCGCGAAGGCGAGACGAUGUUGGAAGCCCUAGACCCAAAAAAUCCCAAGAUGAUCUUUAAGAAGUAGGUAGUAAAAAUGCGUACCACACACUUAACACCGUAGCUUAAGGAUUAGCCAGGGCAGGGAAACCAACUCCGCCCAAAGCAGGUAUGCUCGCCAGAUCCUGAGUAUGGAAAACCUCCUUAAAGUUAAGACCGAAAGCAAGCGCCAAAUUCACAAGCCAUGAUCGCCUUCUCGGGGAAAGAUGCAGUUGUCAUCCAUCCUCUUAACUAUGACCCCGUGGUCAUUACCGUUAAGUGCGAAAGUUAGGGAAUUAAAAGAGAUAACAUGUACGUGUACGUGUAAAUGGGCAUAUCACCUUGAGGAUCACUUUUAGAUAGCAGGAAAAAGAGAUAAAAGUCAAAUAUCUGGUUAGUGAUGCCCCUUCUUCGUAUAAUAUGAUUAUAGGGCGACCGACCUUUAACCUGCUGGGCGACACCUUGUGAAAUAUGUAUUUGUGCAUGUCUCGAAUAGUUCUUUAUAGAAAAUAUUUGUUUGUUGGUUGAUUUUAGAGAAUAAUGUUUAGGUCGCAUUCAAGCGGUUUAACAUCUACUUGUAUGCUCGCACUAUGGAGGCUGGAUCAUCUGUUUAUAAUUCGUGUAGCAAUGGAUAAAACACUAUUCUUUUAUGAAAAAGUUUAUUUUGAUUGCAUCAGAGUAAAAAGUUAGUUUGGUGAGCUGAGAUUGAUUUUAGGUGGAAGACGAGUAACUGGUUCCAGCAAAGUGUACACUAAGCCUCCGAUACUCGAGAAACAAACAAAAAUACAUUCACCUGCUCCCUUUCUAAUCCAAGUUAAUUUAUAUAUAUUUUUUUAAGUUAACUAAUUACGUUCAUUAUAAUUGAUUCAGUUUUGAAAAUGGAUUUGAUGUAGGUUAACUUGUAAACAUGAUGAUUUAAUUGAAAAUAAUUUGAUUUUUCUUAUUUAUUGUGACAACUAUUCAAUUUGAUUUUUUAUGGAGAAUAAAAAUAGAUUUUUGAUUAUUAGCAUUCACAAUGUUCAUAAAAAUCCUGAAAUCAUCAAUUUAAUUAAUUAUAAAAAAAACAAAUAGCAAAAAUUUAAAACAAGAAAAGGGUGCAAACAAAGGUAGUAAAUUAAAACAAUGGUAUUGAAGUCAAAAAAUACAAAAAAAAGGGAAAGAAAUAAAGGGGGCGUGUGGUAAAAGAGGAGAAUGCCUAAUUGAGAGGGGCCCAAAGCUGGUCAAUAGGGGAAAGGGAGUUGACUUCGUGUGGGCCGCCUGAUUGCAUCAAGCGACCAUGAUGCGUUGUGCAUGAUAAGGCUAGUGAAUGGGGUAGUGUAGGAUCAUGGGAAAGAGAAAAGGAGGGAUCACGCCAUGUGGCGCAUUAUCUGCCACAUAAACUAGUCAAUAGUCAACUACAACAAACGGCCCAGAUUAAUUAUGAAUUUAAGCUUCUUCUUCCCCACUCAUGCAAGGCCAAUUGCACAAUAACAACAUCAAUGACUACUUUUUCUUUGAAAAUCACCUAAUAUGCAUAUAAUUUAACAAAUAAAUAUGCAAAAUUCAUCUAUGAAUCGUCAUGAACAUGAAUCCAUGAUCAAAGUGUAUUAAUUAACAACAAAAAAUGGUGAGAAUUAGGAUUUAAAGUAAACCUGAAUUUGAUUGAGUGGCUCGAUCCGGCCAUAACUUGAUGUUUUGAAUCACUUUGCAUUUUUUCUUCAAACGGUUGAUUUUUUAAUUUUCCGGGUUUUUGUUCUUGAAUGUUCAUGAACACUCAUGAACAUCAAUAACACUAAGAACACCAAUUUUUCAGAAAUUCAUAUUUCAAUUUAUUUUGAACAAAUGAUUAAAGGAUAUAAAACAUAGUAAGUGUAGAAACAAUUUUAUGUAAAAAAAAUCACACAAAAUACAAUGGUCAAGCCUUACCUAAGCGAAAAAACCUCAAGAAUGCGAUGAACACUGAUGAGCAACCCAAAUUCCGAUCAAGCUCCAAUAUUGCUCCAUCUAAACUCGUUUUUCAUGUCUCUUUGUAGAUCUAAACACCUAUUUAUCUUCUAUACCUCAUUCCAUCAUAAUUUCACAAUUUCUACAUUUUUUUUCAAAAUCGAGUUCAAAAUGGAUUUGCGCGAAUUUGAGUUUUGGUGUAGUUGUGUGUAGUUUUUUUUUGUCUAUACUAUGUAAUUGGACUCAUAUUUAUAAUAAUUUUCAUGUUAACAUAAAAGGAAAACAAGUCAUAGUGACAAAUCGCGACCAAUUAAAAACAAGCAUGACAAAUUGCGACCAAUUAGAAACAAGUAUGACACAUUGCAACCCUUUGAACAUGUAUGAUCAAAGAUCGUCGUCAACCUGAAAGAUCGGUGCUUAGAUCAAAGAUAAAAAUAUCUUCGUCAACCCGAAGGUCGAUGCUUACAUCAAGGAUAAAAAGAUCGUUGUCAACUCGAAGGUUGAUGCUUAGAUCAAGGAUAAAAAUAUCGUUGUUAACCCGAAGGUCGAUGCUUAGAUCAAGGAUAAAAAGAUCGACGUCAACCCGAAAGUCGAUGCUUAGAUCAAGGAUAAAAAGGUUGUUGUCAACCCAGAGGUUGAUGCUUAUAUCAAAGUUAAAAAGAUCAUCGUCAACCCGAAAGUUGAUGCUUAGAUCAAACAUGAAAAGAUCAUCGUUAACUUAGAAGCUUGAUGCUAAAAUCGUGGGAUAGGUCGUCGCCAACUCAAGGGUCAGCGCUUGGACCUACAAAUGAGAAAAGAUCACCGUCAACCCAAAGGUCGAUGCUUAGAUCAAAUAGGAAAGGAUCAUCGUUAAUAUGAAGAUUAAUACUUAGAUCAACAUAGGACAAGUUUGUCAUCAACCCGAAGCUCGACGUUUAGAUCACGGUAAAGUGAUCAUCGUCAAUCCGAAGAUUGAUGCUUAGAUCAAGGUGAGAUAAAUCAUCACCAACCAAAGGGUCAGUGCUUAGAUCGCACAUGAUAAGAUCAUCAUUAACAUGGAGGUUGAUGAUGCCUUAGAUCAUUACAGGACAAGAUCGUCGUCAACCCGAAAGUCAAUGCUUAGAUGAAGACAAACUGAUCAUCGUCAACCCAAAGGUCGAUGCUUAGAUCAAGGAUAAGAUCUAAGAAUGAUGAUUAGAUUAACAGAUAGAUCAUGGCCAACCCAAAGGUUAAUCCUUAGAUCAAACAAGAAAAUAUCUUCGUCAACUUGAGAGACCACACAAAUUCAAAUCAGUCGGAAAUUCAAGUGGAAGCAGUUGAGAAAGUUACGAUUGGUACAAGCACGAAAGAAAGUUUUUCUGUCAACUAGUGCAAUAUUGAAACCACACCACCAAAACUAGAUAAUAUUGAGAGACUAUCAAUUAUAUUCGAAAGUAUUCCAAACCCGUUCCUGGAUAUUACAUUAAGUCAUGAUCCAAGUCAAUUAUUUGUACUUUCUAAGGAUUCAAAUAAUGAAGAUUUGAAGGGACAUGAGUACCUAGACAAUUCCAUAUUACAAAUUUGGUGUUCGUAAGUAUAGCUUUUAUGUUGAUUUUUAUUUAUAUUCAUAAGUUCUUGUACAUUAACAUAAAGAUUUGACUCUUGCAGGUUCAUGCAUGAGUUCUGUGUUGAAAGUAAUACAAAUAAGUAGUAUUUCUUAGAUCCAUCGCGGCUUGGUCUUACUCACGGUUCGACAGGAAACAAUAUCUUUGUUUACAUACAAGAAAAGUUGAAAGAGAACAAAGAGUAUUAUUUGGUCCGUUUUUACUGUGAGUAAGUAUAUAUUAAUUUGUAUUUUCCUUUAUAAAUCAAAUUUAUACAUAUUAUUAAUUAUUCUGAAUUUUUAUGCAUUGAACAUUGACAACUAAUUGUUAUAUGUCCGAGGAAAAAUGUUAUAAUUGUGUUUUGCUCGUUGCGCUUUGUGCUGCCUAAAGUUGUGGUUAACACUUUGAAUGCGUAAGUGGUAUUAUUCUUAAUAUUCAAAUUUUAAUUUUAGAUUUGAAUAGUUUCUAUUCAUUUUUAAUUUUAACCAACAUGUGUAGAAUGAUUGAAGAACAUAAUGCAAUCAAACAAAAUUUACUUGGUUAAAAGCCAAACUAUGGAUAUCCAAAAGUAAGUAUACUACUUGUGCUUUUUGACUGUAUUAUUUGUGUGUAUUAGUGGUAUAAAUAUAUGAAAUUAUUCGUAGUGACGAAAACAACCCAACAACUAUUCUUGGGGAUACUAUGUUAUAAGAUAUAGACAUUACAAAUGGAUGGAUGAAGCACCAGGUAUACAUAUAUAUACACAUAUUUAUAUUUCUUAAGUUAAUGUUGUUGUUGUUAGCUUAUCGUAGUUUAAAGUUUGUUUUAAUUAUGAGUUUAAUGACAGAACACCAUACUCAAAAGAAGAUAUAAAUGACAUCCGAUCACAUUGGAUCAUUGCCUUCUAUUCAUUUUUUUUUGAAUCUUGACAACAAUAAUUUUUCUUGGUUGUUAUAAUAUUAAUUUGUAUAUGUACAUAGGUUUUGUCAUUUUUAUAUGCAAAUAUGUAAAUGUGUGUAUUUUGUAUUGAUGAGAAUAAUGUAAAUGUGUACAUUUGGUUUUGAAAGCAAUGAUAAUUUAUUAUUAUGUAUUUAAAAGAUUUAAAAUGAUAUGAUAUAUUUCAAUUUUGUCAUAUAUUUUGUAAUUUCUAUAUAAGAAAUGAUACAGGUCAGUGAAAAUAAGAUUUACAACAAUGUAAAUUUGAUAUUAUGUGUUUACAGGCUAAUGAAAAUAAGAUUUAUAAUGAUAUGAUACAAACUAGUGAAAAUAAAAUUUAUAAUGAUAUGAUACAAGCCAGUGAAAAUGAGAUUUAAAACAAAUUAUAUAUGAAAAUAAAUAAGAUUUAACCCCUCGAUUAUCACCUAAAAUCAAAGUAAAAGUAUACCUUAUUACCUCAAUUUUAAAUAAAACCGAGAGGUAUAUGACACACGCAACAAAAUUUGGAAAAUAAAAAUAUGUUAUUGCUAGGGAUCGAACCAAUGACCAUUUACUUUCUAAAAUCGAGGAAAAAAUGGCAAGUUAUCAUGUCACCCUUCGUUACCUCGUAUGUGUAAUCGAGAUAAAAGUCAUUUCGCGACAGAGAUAAGAUGUGUUAUUUAUAAUAGUGUUAUCAAUUGGAUAUGGCAAGAUCACGGGAAAGAGAAAAGGGGGACAACUACAUGUGACACGAGAUCUGACACAGAAACUAGUCAACAAACAACUGCAACGAAUGGUCCUGAUUACUUUUGGAUUUAAGCUUCUUUUUCCCUACUCAUGCAAGACCAAUUGCACAACAACAACAAUGAUUAUUUUUUCUUGGAAAAUCACCAAAUAUGCAUGGAAUUGACAAAUAAAUAUGCAAAAUUCAUCUACGAAUCAUCACGAACAUGAAUCUAUGAUCAAAGUGUAUCAAUUAACAAUAAAAAAUGACAAAAAUUAGAAUUUAAAAUGAAUUCAAAUUUGACUUUGAGGGACUCAAUCCGGCCAUAACUUAGUGUUUUAGACCAAAAAUAAUAAUUAAUUUAAAAAUAUAUACAUAAUACCAUAAUGUAUAAGAUUUGUCUAAACAUACCAUUUAUAAUAAGCAGAGAUUUAUGAUUGAUAUUAGCUAUAAUUAGCUUUAACAUUACACAAGACAACCAAACACAAAGCAACUAUAGCCACUUUAUUUUAUUUUAAAAAAGCAAACAUAUAUGAUAUGCUUUUUCUACAUCAUAUCAUUACAUAUAUUGCCUCCAAUAUCUCUGCUUCAAACUUUCAUAUUCAUUUGCAGUUGCAAGGGUCACAAGUGCAGCUAUCUCCACACUUGCAGCCACCAUCCUCAGCUGCAACACUCAUUUCAGCACCAUCAAACUGGAUCUUCGCCGGACCGACGCCAAGAAUCACGGUCUCUGUGGUUUCCAUUUCGGAGUAGCUCAAUCCACUAGACCUCUUGCUGCAUCUGCA
RNAcentral lists this long non-coding RNA (9296 nucleotides) under Lathyrus oleraceus (garden pea). RNAcentral describes it as "Pisum sativum (pea) long non-coding RNA (PSAT_LNC032235)". Lineage: Eukaryota; Viridiplantae; Streptophyta; Magnoliopsida; Fabales; Fabaceae. The record is from RNAcentral.